AAACUGUCAUUUUAAUCAGAGUAAAAUAAAUAAAAUAAUAAAGCUAACAGGUAGAAAUUUCAGAAGAUUGGGAAAGGCAAGAACAACAACAGACAUCCCUCUGCUCUUGUGUAAUUCAUAGAAUUUCGUAAUAUAUGUUCUUCCACAUUCCCAAUCCAUCAAUAAUAAUAAUAAUCAAGCUCCAUUUCUUACAUCUUCAUCCAUUCAUCUUCUCCACAGAUGUGUUAUUUCAAAAACACGAUUAAAUUCAUCAUCAGGUGCUUGUUAACAACGAUCGGUAGCGAUUAGAAGCGAUAAGGCUGAGGAUUCGGAGUCCCUUGGCGGAAAGAUGAGGUUUUGUGGUGAACUAGUGAUUAAAUUCGCAAAGGUUUUAAGUUUAUAGCAACGAUCUUUUGAAGAAUAUUACACUUCUCAAUUACAUCAAAUGGACUAUUAUAAAUCGCGAAGAAACACAGACACUGUUGUUGAUAUUGUGAGUAGUGAAAGCGAAUAUGAAGAGGACGGAAGAAACGAGACCGUGACGGCUAACAAACGAGCAAAAACCGUGGUUCGAUAUGUAGGUGAAACAUUUAGUUUCGAAGCAUCAGAAGACGACGGUGAAUGCAGCAGUAGUUCUUACUUAAUUUCUCUAAAAUCAAGUGAUGAUGGUUAUGAAGAUAUGGAAUCACUAAAACACACCAAAUUUGAUAAAAACGGUCAACAGACACAACUGUUAGAGAAAACACAGUUGAAAGAAAAGCGCAAGAUUUCAAAUUCAAAAAAGGCUCCAAAGCCACCUAGACCACGUAAGGGCCUUUCACUAGACGCAGCUGACUUGCAAUUGGUUAAGGAGAUUGCGGAACAGACCAUGAAAAAGCGAGCUAGGGUUGAACGGUUGAAAUCUUUGAAGAAAAGACGAGCUGUUAAAGCUGCUUCACCACCUUCAACAUCGUCGAAUAUUAGCAUCUUUGCUAUGGCCAUUACAGUUCUUUUUUUCAUCGUCAUCAUUUUUCAAGGUUUCGGUUCAGGUCACAGUUCAACUUUUACUUUCGAAAAUUCUCCAAAGUCAGCAGGAGAACCAUCAGACGGUCUGAUCUCCGUCCAGCUUGGGAAUGUCCCCUCGGAAACCAAUGAUGUUCAACAAGUUGCCAAUCCUCCCAAGAAAUUCGUGCAACGGAAGAUAUAUCAUACCACUUCCAAGUUUGUGGAACGGCAAUCUGAUCGACUUUAGGAGCUUAGUUAGUUAAACACGUGGCUACAGAAGUGCGUCAUCUUUCUGAUUUUCAGAACACCAGCGUUGUUGUUGAUUGAUUCUGAAGUUUGACACUUUUUUAGAUAAAGGAAAACUGAUUAUGUGGCACAUUUUUGUCAUAAAUUUUGCAAAUCGCAACAAUUUAACCCAUAUUACAAUCUGGUUAGAGGCUGCAAUGUUUGCAAGGU
Molecule: RNA transcript, 1419 nt
Organism: Helianthus annuus (common sunflower)
Lineage: Eukaryota; Viridiplantae; Streptophyta; Magnoliopsida; Asterales; Asteraceae
Exons: 5
Source: RefSeq, a predicted model, not a curated record